Molecule: transfer RNA, 74 nt
Filed under: Canis lupus familiaris (dog)
Lineage: Eukaryota; Metazoa; Chordata; Mammalia; Carnivora; Canidae
Also listed under: 1 other name
Rfam family: tRNA
About the family: Transfer RNA (tRNA) molecules are approximately 80 nucleotides in length.
Source: Rfam by way of RNAcentral
ACCCGGCUGGCUCAGUCGGGUGGAGCAUGGGACUCUUGAUCUCGGGGUGGUGAGUUCAAGCCCUACACUGGGUG